GUGCUCACUUUAGCAGCACAUAAACUAAAAUUGUAACAAUACAGAGAUUAGCAUGGCCCCUAUGCAAGAAUGACAUGCAAAUUUGUGAAGUUUUCUAUAUUUGU
Molecule: small nuclear RNA, 104 nt
Organism: Pteronotus mesoamericanus
Lineage: Eukaryota; Metazoa; Chordata; Mammalia; Chiroptera; Mormoopidae
Source: RefSeq, a predicted model, not a curated record